RNAcentral lists this ribosomal RNA (515 nucleotides) under uncultured bacterium. RNAcentral describes it as "partial 16S ribosomal RNA". It matches the Rfam family "Bacterial small subunit ribosomal RNA", at positions 28 to 523 of the family's 1533-position model. The record is from RNAcentral.
GAUGAACGCUGGCGGCGUGCCUAAUACAUGCAAGUCGAGCGAAUGGAUUAAGAGCUUGCUCUUAUGAAGUUAGCGGCGGACGGGUGAGUAACACGUGGGUAACCUGCCCAUAAGACUGGGAUAACUCCGGGAAACCGGGGCUAAUACCGGAUAACAUUUUGAACCGCAUGGUUCGAAAUUGAAAGGCGGCUUCGGCUGUCACUUAUGGAUGGACCCGCGUCGCAUUAGCUAGUUGGUGAGGUAACGGCUCACCAAGGCAACGAUGCGUAGCCGACCUGAGAGGGGGAUCGGCCACACUGGGACUGAGACACGGCCCAGACUCCUGCGGGAGGCAGCAGUAGGGAAUCUUCCGCAAUGGACGAAAGUCUGACGGAGCAACGCCGCGUGAGUGACGAAGGCUUUCGGGUCGUAAAACUCUGUUGUUAGGGAAGAACAAGUGCUAGUUGAAUAAGCUGACACCUUGACGGUACCUAACCAGAAAGCCACGGCUAACUACGUGCCAGCAGCCGCAGUAA